Molecule: ribosomal RNA, 245 nt
Filed under: uncultured Actinomycetales bacterium
Lineage: Bacteria; Bacillati; Actinomycetota; Actinomycetes; Actinomycetales
Description: partial 16S ribosomal RNA
Rfam family: Bacterial small subunit ribosomal RNA
Source: RNAcentral
UGCUCGAGUGGCGAACGGGUGAGUAACACGUGAGUAACCUGCCCUUGACUUUGGGAUAACUUCAGGAAACUGGGGCUAAUACCGGAUAGGAGCUCCUGCUGCAUGGUGGGGGCUGGAAAGUUUCGGCGGUUGGGGAUGGACUCGCGGCUUAUCAGCUUGUUGGUGGGGUAGUGGCUUACCAAGGCUUUGACGGGUAGCCGGCCUGAGAGGGUGACCGGCCACAUUGGGACUGAGAUACGGCCCAG